Molecule: ribosomal RNA, 402 nt
Filed under: uncultured bacterium
Lineage: Bacteria
Description: bacterial SSU rRNA
Rfam family: Bacterial small subunit ribosomal RNA
Source: RNAcentral
UGGGGAAUAUUGCACAAUGGGCGAAAGCCUGAUGCAGCAACGCCGCGUGAGUGAUGAAGGCCUUCGGGUUGUAAAGCUCUGUCUUCUGGGACGAUAAUGACGGUACCAGAGGAGGAAGCCACGGCUAACUACGUGCCAGCAGCCGCGGUAAUACGUAGGUGGCAAGCGUUGUCCGGAUUUACUGGGCGUAAAGGAUGCGUAGGCGGAUACUUAAGUCAGAUGUGAAAAUCCCGGGCUUAACUUGGGAACUGCAUUUGAAACUGGGUAUCUAGAGUGCGGGAGAGGAAAGGGGAAUUCCUAGUGUAGCGGUGAAAUGCGUAGAGAUUAGGAAGAACACCAGUGGGGAAGGCGACUUUCUGGACCGUAACUGACGCUGAGGCAUGAAAGCGUGGGGAGCAAACA